Molecule: unclassified non-coding RNA, 349 nt
Filed under: soil metagenome
Description: partial contains 5.8S ribosomal RNA, internal transcribed spacer 2, and large subunit ribosomal RNA
Rfam family: 5.8S ribosomal RNA (bases 1-120)
Source: RNAcentral
GAUGAAGAACGUAGUGAAAUGCGAUAACUAAUGUGAAUUGCAGAAUUCCGUGAAUCAUCGAGUCUUUGAACGCACAUUGCGCCCCCUGGUAUUCCGGGGGGCAUGCCUGUCCGAGCGUCAUUGCUGCCCAUCAAGCACGGCUUGUGUGUUGGGUCCUCGUCCCCCCCGGGGGACGUGCCCGAAAGGCGGCGGCGGCACCGCGUCCGGUCCUCGAGCGUAUGGGGCUUUGUCACCCGCUCUGCAGGCCCGGCCGGCGCUGGCCGACGCGAAAGCAACCAUUUUUUCUCCAGGUUGACCUCGGAUCAGGUAGGGAUACCCGCUGAACUUAAGCAUAUCAAUAAGCGGAGGA